Long non-coding RNA from Acanthopagrus latus (yellowfin seabream), 502 nucleotides. RefSeq lists it as uncharacterized. The record is from RefSeq and is a predicted model, not a curated record. The transcript has 4 exons. NCBI's taxonomy places the organism in Eukaryota, Metazoa, Chordata, Actinopteri, Spariformes, Sparidae.
CCUGUACUCGGCGAUCUCCAUCUCCAGUCUGGUCUUGAUGUCCAGCAGCAUCUGGUACUCCUGUCCCUGUCUCUCCAGGUCGGCCCUCAGCUGCACCAGCUGCUCCUCCAUCAUGGUCACCUGCACAGCCAGAACCGCGUUGAGGUCGGCCUGUGGAGCAGCGUCCACCUCCACGUUCACCUGACCGGUCAUCUGGGUCCGCAUGCUCAGCAGGUCCUGCAGGAGGAGGGAGGCCGAGAACUCAAAGCUCCUGGUGCUGUGAAGGACUGUUACCUCCUCGUGGUUGGCCUUCAUGGACACCAGUUCUUCCUUCAGGCUGUCGAUCUGCAUGCUCAGGUCGGUCUUGCCUGCUGCCAGUUCUCCCAUCAGCAUCUUGAGCCCGGCGAUGUCGGCCUCCACUGACUGACGCAUCGUCAGCUCGUUCUCGAACCUGCACAGAGACAGAAACACAUCACACCUGGACCCCUGCACACCUGGACCCCUGCACACCUGGACCCCUGCA